GACUCUCGGCAACGGAUAUCUCGGCUCUCGCAUCGAUGAAGAACGUAGCGAAAUGCGAUACUUGGUGUGAAUUGCAGAAUCCCGUGAACCAUCGAGUCUUUGAACGCAAGUUGCGCCCGAAGCCACCAGGUUGAGGGCACGUC
This 143-nucleotide ribosomal RNA is filed under the name Cyrtandra sp. Wiriadinata 12713. RNAcentral describes it as "5.8S ribosomal RNA". It matches the Rfam family "5.8S ribosomal RNA". From Rfam's summary of the family: 5.8S ribosomal RNA (5.8S rRNA) is a component of the large subunit of the eukaryotic ribosome. The record is from RNAcentral. Lineage: Eukaryota; Viridiplantae; Streptophyta; Magnoliopsida; Lamiales; Gesneriaceae.